RNAcentral lists this ribosomal RNA (460 nucleotides) under uncultured bacterium. RNAcentral's name for it is "partial 16S ribosomal RNA". It matches the Rfam family "Bacterial small subunit ribosomal RNA", at positions 338 to 795 of the family's 1533-position model. The record is from RNAcentral.
CCUACGGGCGGCUGCAGUGAGGAAUAUUGGUCAAUGGACGGAAGUCUGAACCAGCCAUGCCGCGUGCAGGAAGACGGCUCUAUGAGUUGUAAACUGCUUUUGUACAAGGGUAAACCUGAAUACGUGUAUUCUGCUGAAAGUACUGUACGAAUAAGGAUCGGCUAACUCCGUGCCAGCAGCCGCGGUAAUACGGAGGAUCCAAGCGUUAUCCGGAUUUAUUGGGGUUAAAGGGUGCGUAGGCGGAUUGAUAAGUUAGAGGUGAAAUGUCCGAGCUUAACUCGGGAACUGCCUCUAAUACUGUUGAUCUAGAGAGUAGAUGCGGUAGGCGGAAUGUAUGGUGUAGCGGUGAAAUGCUUAGAGAUCAUACAGAACACCGAUUGCGAAGGCAGCUUACCAAUCUAUAUCUGACGUUGAGGCACGAAAGCGUGGGGAGCAAACAGGAUUAGAUACCCCAGUAGUC